ACGGUUACCUUGUUACGACUUCACCCCAGUUAUCGAUCCCACCUUCGACGGCUCCCUCCGUUUGGUUGGGUCACCGGCUUCGGGCGUUACUGACUCCCAUGGUGUGACGGGCGGUGUGUACAAGACCCGGGAACGUAUUCACCGCGACAUUCUGAUUCGCGAUUACUAGCGAUUCCAGCUUCAUGUAGUCGAGUUGCAGACUACAAUCCGAACUGAGACGUUAUUUUUGGGAUUUGCUCGCAUUCACAUGGUCGCUUCCCUUUGUUUACGCCAUUGUAGCACGUGUGUAGCCCUGGUCAUAAGGGGCAUGAUGAUUUGACGUCGUCCCCACCUUCCUCCAGGUUGUCCCUGGCAGUCUCUCCAGAGUGCCCAUCUAAAAUGCUGGCUACUGAAGAUAGGGGUUGCGCUCGUUGCGGGACUUAACCCAACAUCUCACGACACGAGCUGACGACAACCAUGCACCACCUGUCUCCCCUGUCCCGAAGGAAAACUCCCAUUACAGAGCUGUCAAGGGGAUGUCAAGAUCACGUAAGGUUCUUCGCGUUGCUUCAAAUU
RNAcentral lists this ribosomal RNA (555 nucleotides) under uncultured bacterium. RNAcentral's name for it is "partial 16S ribosomal RNA". The record is from RNAcentral.